CCAACAAUGAAGCAUAAAUCCAUUCCUAGAGGGUGGGGUCUGCAAGGAGAAGGACAUUGUCAUCUUCAUUAGAUUGUUUAUAUUCAGCUUGGUGUCAGACUACUGUGGUGGACAUUCUUGGGGAAGGUGAUUUGCCACACCACCAGGAACUACAUCUCAUCGUGACUCUGGCCCGCAUCCCACUGAGCAACCCCAACUCCUCAUGGGAGUUCAUGGAAGCCACGGCCACCCAGCAUUGCCACAGCAAGAAGGCUCAGGAGGUGCAUAACUGAUCUGCAGAUGAACCCAGCACCUACUCAGGAGGAACCCAAAUGGAAUCAAGGAGUGGAACAUAAAAAUCGGUUUCUUAUGCCUCUGCACUUCACCUUUCUCCUGUUCAUCCCACUCUGCCAUCAUUGCCUGCUUGCCUCCGAAUUGCCCACGACAGUGCAGUCUGGGCACGGAUCACACCUCCCAUGCAGCGGUGGCUUUGUGAUCUGUCCACCUGGGUAUGGCUAAAGAAUAAAGAAGAUAAUAUCAGAAGUGCAUCUGAAGAGGAAGGUACCAAAUGGGCUCUGGGAGAACCACCUCACUUUACCAGCAUGAAGCCCCACCAGCCCUGCACUCCCAGCCUGUGGACUGUCACUCAGCAUCUUCUCAGCCUCUCAGCCGCACCUUAGGGCAGGCAGCUCCAAACAUUGGUAAGGACUGUACGACGCCACAUGCCCCGCGGCUGGACAAGGCAGAGGAGAAAAACUCACACAGGCACAAGAAUUUGAGAGUUCAAAUGAACUUGAGAGUUCUGAGUUCAAAGACGAGUCUGAUUUUCUUUCUUAAUAAAAGGCCAGUGAGGGAGGGUCUCCUGGCCUAAUCCAAAGGCAGCAAGCAGAUCACUGUUUGGUUGGGGAGAAGCGUGAGUCUCCACCGUCCUGGACCCAGCAGGGUACUCGCAUUCAGACCAUGGGUUCCCCGACCAAGAGCACUGCAGUUAGCUUAGGCGGGGAGGCGGGCCCUGCUGGGAGCGUGCUGGGCUAGAAGAGUUAUGUGGCUUGAAUUCACGUACACAAGGGACUAGACAAGCACACACUGGGCGGUCUUGACUCUGUACAUGGCAAGUCCUGGCCUGGGUCCCCCCCCAGGUCCCUGAGCAUUAAAAGUACAAAGGUGGGCUGGGUGCAGUGGCUCACGCCUGUAAUCCCAGCUCUUUGGAAGGCUGAGGCGGGUGGAUCACGAGGUC
This 1216-nucleotide long non-coding RNA is filed under the name Homo sapiens (human). RNAcentral describes it as "HSALNT0366383". The record is from RNAcentral. Lineage: Eukaryota; Metazoa; Chordata; Mammalia; Primates; Hominidae.